UAAAACGUCAGCUGAGUCUCUCUGGUCCUCUUUCCUUUCUUACCACUCAUGUGCCCCAUUCCUCUGUUUUUGUCUUAGAUUGCAAGCUUUUUGGAGCAAAAAGAAAACACAGGAAUAAAAUUCUCUUCUUUGCCCUGCUUUUGGCUGAGGCCUCAAGAUACCACUGUAAUAAAAUCCAGUGGUUUGAUGCAAAGUGCCACUGAAGAAGAGCAGUUUCCGCUGGAUCUGCGUUGCAUCCCUUACCAAGGAGACAGCGUUAUUCCGCCUCUAAUGGCACGGUCUUGUGUCUCCCCUGCCCUGAGCGCAGCAGAGCAGCGCGCUGAAUGCGGACCUCCCGAGAGCAUCUCUGCAGCUCCCGAGCCUUGGGGCUCGCCACCUCGUGGCACGCAGGUUACCCCACGCCUGAGCGCCUCACCUGCCACAGAUGCAGCACCAAAGACAAGGUUGUGAUGCCUGGGACCUCCAGAUACUUUUGAUGGGAGAUCAUAACCUGUUCUCAUGAAAAAGAAAAUCCUCAUCACAAAAGGACAUGUCUUACCCAU
RNAcentral lists this long non-coding RNA (542 nucleotides) under Struthio camelus australis. Its description in RNAcentral is "lncRNA (ENSSCUG00000006290.1)". Lineage: Eukaryota; Metazoa; Chordata; Aves; Struthioniformes; Struthionidae. The record is from RNAcentral.